Molecule: ribosomal RNA, 772 nt
Filed under: uncultured bacterium
Lineage: Bacteria
Description: bacterial SSU rRNA
Rfam family: Bacterial small subunit ribosomal RNA
Source: RNAcentral
UCGAGGGGCAGCACAUGACGUAGCAAUACUGAUGGUGGCGACCGGCGCACGGGUGAGUAACACGUAUGCAACCUACCUUCAACAGGAGAAUAACCCGUCGAAAGACGGACUAAUACUCCAUAACACAGGGAUCCCGCAUGGGAAUAUUUGUUAAAGAUUUAUUGGUUGAAGAUGGGCAUGCGCUCCAUUAGCUAGUUGGUGAGGUAACGGCUCACCAAGGCAACGAUGGAUAGGGGAACUGAGAGGUUUAUCCCCCACACUGGUACUGAGACACGGACCAGACUCCUACGGGAGGCAGCAGUGAGGAAUAUUGGUCAAUGGAGGCAACUCUGAACCAGCCACGUCGCGUGAAGGAUGACGGCCCUACGGGUUGUAAACUUCUUUUGUAAGGGAAUAAAGUUAGUUACGUGUAACUAUUUGCAUGUACCUUACGAAUAAGGAUCGGCUAACUCCGUGCCAGCAGCCGCGGUAAUACGGAGGAUCCAAGCGUUAUCCGGAUUUAUUGGGUUUAAAGGGUGCGUAGGCGGAAGAUUAAGUCGGUGGUGAAAUUUUGCAGCUCAACUGUAAAAGUGCCAUUGAUACUGGUUUUCUUGAGUAUGGAUGAAGUAGGCGGAAUUUGUGGUGUAGCGGUGAAAUGCAUAGAUAUCACGAGGAACUCCGAUUGCGCAGGCAGCUUACUAAACCAUAACUGACGCUCAGGCACGAAGGCGUGGGGAUCAAACAGGAUUAGAUACCCUGGUAGUCCACGCAGUAAACUAUGAUUACUCGCUGU